UUUGAUCUCAAAUCAGAGAUGUGAUUGGGGG
This 31-nucleotide ribosomal RNA is filed under the name uncultured Thelephoraceae. Its description in RNAcentral is "partial 28S ribosomal RNA". Lineage: Eukaryota; Fungi; Basidiomycota; Agaricomycetes; Thelephorales; Thelephoraceae. The record is from RNAcentral.